GAUAACCUCGGGAAACUGGGUAUAAUACCCGAUAGGUCUCGAUUGCUGGAAUGCAUCGAGAUUUAAAGCUCCGGCGCCUAAGGAUGGGUCUGCGGCCUAUCAGGUAGUAGUGGGUGUAGCGUACCUACUAGCCUACGACGGGUACGGGUUGUGAGAGCAAGAGCCCGGAGAUGGAUUCUGAGACACGAAUCCAGGCCCUACGGGGUGCAGCAGGCGCGAAAACUUUACAAUGCUGGCAACAGCGAUAAGGGAACCUCGAGUGCCAGGUUACAAAUCUGGCUGUCGAGAUGCCUAAAAAGCAUUUCAUAGCAAGGGCCGGGCAAGACCGGUGCCAGCCGCCGCGGUAACACCGGCGGCUCGAGUGGUAACCGUUAUUAUUGGGUCUAAAGGGUCUGUAGCCGGCCGGAUAAGUCUCUUGAGAAAUCUGGCAGCUUAACUGUCAGGCUUUCAGGAGAUACUGUCUGGCUCGAGGCCGGGAGAGGUGAGAGGUACUUCAGGGGUAGGGGUGAAAUCUUGUAAUCCUUGAAGGACCACCAGUGGCGAAGGCGUCUCACCAGAACGGACCUGACGGCAAGGGACGAAAGCUAGGGGCACGAACCGGAUUAGAUACCCGGGUAGUCCUAGCCGUAAACGAUACUCGCUAGGUGUCGGCCACGGUGCGACCGUUGUCGGUGCCGUAGGGAAGCCGUGAAGCGAGCCACCUGGGAAGUACGGCCGCAAGGCUGAAACUUAAAGGAAUUGGCGGGGGAGCACCACAACGGGUGGAGCUUGCGGUUUAAUUGGAUUCAACGCCGGAAAUCUUACCGGGACCGACAGCAAUAUGAAGGCCAGGCUGAAGACUUUGCCGGAUUAGCUGAGAGGUGGUGCAU
This 869-nucleotide ribosomal RNA is filed under the name uncultured archaeon. Its description in RNAcentral is "bacterial SSU rRNA". It matches the Rfam family "Archaeal small subunit ribosomal RNA", at positions 125 to 995 of the family's 1478-position model. The record is from RNAcentral.